UAGGGAAUAUUGCGCAAUGGAGGAAACUCUGACGCAGCGACGCCGCGUGGGUGACGAAGGCCUUCGGGUCGUAAAGCCCUGUCGGAGGGGACGAAAGAAUCGGUGUUAACACCGCCGAGAGAUGACGGUACCCUCAAAGGAAGCACCGGCUAACUACGUGCCAGCAGCCGCGGUAAUACGUAGGGUGCAAGCGUUGUUCGGAAUCAUUGGGCGUAAAGCGUGUGUAGGUGGCUUGCUAAGUUGAUUGUGAAAUCCCUGGGCUCAACCGAGGAAGUGCAGUCAAAACUAGCAGGCUAGAGGACAGCAGAGGAAGGUGGAAUUCCAAGUGUAGAGGUGAAAUUCGUAGAUAUUUGGAGGAAUACCGGCGGCGAAGGCGGCCUUCUGGACUGUUCCUGACACU
This 400-nucleotide ribosomal RNA is filed under the name uncultured bacterium. Its description in RNAcentral is "bacterial SSU rRNA". It matches the Rfam family "Bacterial small subunit ribosomal RNA", at positions 355 to 747 of the family's 1533-position model. The record is from RNAcentral.